AUUGAACGCUGGCGGCAGGCCUAACACAUGCAAGUCGAGCGGACGAAGGGAGCUUGCUCCUGGAUUCAGCGGCGGACGGGUGAGUAAUGCCUAGGAAUCUGCCUGGUAGUGGGGGAUAACGUCCGGAAACGGGCGCUAAUACCGCAUACGUCCUGAGGGAGAAAGUGGGGGAUCUUCGGACCUCACGCGAUCAGAUGAGCCUAGGUCGGAUUAGCUAGUUGGUGGGGUAAGGGCCUACCAAGGCGACGAUCCGUAACUGGUCUGAGAGGAUGAUCAGUCACACUGGAACUGAGACACGGUCCAGACUCCUACGGGAGGCAGCAGUGGGGAAUAUUGGACAAUGGGCGAAAGCCUGAUCCAGCCAUGCCGCGUGUGUGAAGAAGGUCUUCGGAUUGUAAAGCACUUUUAGUUGGGAGGAAGGGCAGUAAGUUAAUCCCUUGCUGUUUUGACGUUACCAACAGAAUAAGCACCGGCUAACUUCGUG
Molecule: ribosomal RNA, 484 nt
Filed under: uncultured bacterium
Lineage: Bacteria
Description: partial 16S ribosomal RNA
Rfam family: Bacterial small subunit ribosomal RNA
Source: RNAcentral